GGGAACUGAAACAUCUAAGUACCCAUAGGAAAGGACAUCAACCGAGACUCCGUUAGUAGCGGCGAGCGAACGCGGACCAGGCCAGUGGCAAUAGUAAGAAAAGCGGAAGCGUCUGGAAAGUCGUGCCGUAGUGGGUGAUAGCCCCGUACGCGUUAAUCGAUCUAUUGUCCUCGAGUAGGGCGGAACACGUGAAAUUCUGUCUGAACAUGGGGGGACCACCCUCCAAGCCUAAGUACUCGUGCAUCACCGAUAGCGAACCAGUACCGUGAGGGAAAGGUGAAAAGUACCCCGGGAGGGGAGUGAAAUAGUACCUGAAACUGGAUGCCUACAAACAGUGGGAGGCCGCAAGGCUGACCGCGUACCUUUUGUAUAAUGGGUCAACGACUUAGUGUAGCAAGCAAGCUUAAGCCGAUAGGUGUAGGCGUAGCGAAAGCGAGUCUUAA
This 443-nucleotide ribosomal RNA is filed under the name Extubocellulus spinifer. RNAcentral describes it as "partial Bacterial large subunit ribosomal RNA". It matches the Rfam family "Bacterial large subunit ribosomal RNA", at positions 188 to 687 of the family's 2925-position model. The record is from RNAcentral. Lineage: Eukaryota; Bacillariophyta; Thalassiosirophyceae; Cymatosirales; Cymatosiraceae.